AACUUUCACCCCGCCUGGCAGCCCGCUGAGAGCGAGAGAAAACCACGUGCACCAAACUUUAGGGGAGGAAAAAUGGGAACGUGGGGAGAAGACGUGAGGCGGCAGAUCUGAAAAAGAUGGUAGGUGGAGGGACCCCAGGGAUUCACCCUGGCCUCGGACUAAUCCUAUGGGGCGCUUGCAAACCCCGGCCAUCCCCUGGAGUCUGAAGGUACGGCCAAGUCCUGAUCCCACACGGUUCACUGGUUCCCGGCGGGCUGCGCUCGGCGCGGGGAGUGGCCGGGGGCCCAGAGACGGAGCCAGUGUCAGGCCCGGGCCCUGUCUGGCCUCCCUCCUGCUCCCCACUGCGUGGGGGCUGGGGGUGGGCUUCCUGAGCCGAGGGUAGAAGGUGGGGAGGCCCCUUCAGGGCUUUGUGAACGGUCACCCCCUGGCGCGCACUGCCUCCCUCUGCGGAAAGGGAAUUUCCCGUAAAGUGCUCUGCGAACCAGUGAAGAAGGGGCCCAAGGCCAGAGCCAUGCGGGCAAAGUGAAGUGCAAAGUUGAGGCAAUUAUCCGGACAAAUUAGAUUGUAAACAAAACCCCGCGUCUCUGAACAUCGCUUUUGCCCAGGGGGACUGGAGGGAUUGUGGUGGUGGCGGCGAUGGUGUGUUUGGGUUGGGAGGGGGAGGUCUGGGUGAGGAAAUGCCCACGGCCCAAGGGGGAGGGCUGUGUUGUUAGCAGACGCACCACUCAGAGUCCCGUGGAAAUCUCAAUACCCGUCCCCCUCCCCGCCCCACACACGCCGGAAACAUCUCCCAUCUGUCUGCAUGUGUUGGGGGUGGGGAGAAGUGAAGGAGGCCUCAGGGGUCCUCAUGAAGUACCCCAACCCAGCUCAGUGAUGCCGGGUCCCCAUGACCAAGGGAGGAUCCUGUUGUGGGAUCAGGACAAGAAGACAGUGGCUCUUGAAGCCUCUCCUGGCCCUAAAUCCUCAGGCAGGUGGACAAGAGGCUGGCAUAGUAUGUGAGCCCCUGUGGAGUGGGAGCUGGAAGCCUGAGGUGUGGGGUCGGAGCUGCAAGGAUUGAUGCUUAGUUGCCUGGGGGGAGGGGAUUUCUUGGCCGUUCCAGUGGUCCUUGAAAGAAAAGGGGACCUCAGAGAGGAGGCACCCUCUUGGGUUGUUUUUCAUCACUUCUGUCCCUUUUCUGCAAUGUUAGUGACACCUGCACAGGUCCACAUUUUAUGUAUUUGCCUUUUUGGGCAGGUGGGACAGGCAUACUUAGGUCCUGCUGGAGCGUUUUAGAUUUCUAGGUGUGAAAUUGUGCAGGGAAGACUCUAAGUGCCAUUUAUGUGGAUAUCUCAGUGUCCUUUCCAGUGUGGCAACUGAGAUAACCAUAGCCAUAAGAAUAAAAUAACAGCUAACAUCUGAGUCGUACCACCCACCAGCCAUUUAAUCUUCACAGUAACCCCAGGAGGGAGAUAUUUGUAUUAUCUCCAUUUUAUAGAAGAGGAAACUGAGGCACAAAGAGAUCAAGUAACUUGCCCAGGCUUACACAGCUGCUGGUCAGUGAUGAGCCAGAUUCCAACUAGAGCCACUUCAGUGAGGACAAGAAAGAAGCUCAUGGUGGUCUCUGAAGCGACACUGCCUGCUUGUGGGUUAGCUGAGGGGAAGGAUAUUCUGGGAGAAAGAAAGCCCUUGGUAGUACUAUCUGAUUUACCUUCUGUUGAGGCCCAGCUCUGGUGGAAAUCAUGGUGUGUGGACAGCCCUAGGCCAAGCCUGGAGUGGCAAGUCCUUGUGUCAGACCAGCUGGGCCAGUGACUAUGUCCUCAGUUCUCCUUCCUAUCCUUCUUGCAGCAAAGGCUGAGGGUGGGGUGAGAACUAGGGGCUUUGGAGACAAAAGAGAGAAUUUCUGUAGGGGGGUAUUGAAUGAGGUGACCUCCGAGGGGCUUCUCCAGCCCUUUUCUGGCUGGUUCACUGAAUGUUUUUCCCAUCCCCUUCCUGCAGCAGCCCUUGUACCUUACACAUGGGCUCACUUGCCCAGAGGGAUUGCCCUGGGAAAUGCUUCACUUUCAGUUCAGUUUACCCCUCAUCUCCAGGCCAGUUCAGUUCCCAGCUCCCUGUGAGCUACAGUGGGGGCUCAAGGCAUCAAAAGACCCUGUCUUGUCUUCACCUAAAGGGCAUUUUAGCGAGGAAGACAAAGCCUCCCCAAAGAAAGAUACAGAACAAAUGCCCCGAAAUCAAAGAAGCCAGUCCAAAGCCCUUCUUCCUGGUGCAAGAGCUUCGUUAAGAAGGUUGAAAAGAGUAGCCCUUGGCUCCAAAGUGGGAGUGACCGGGAGCAGGCAGGAGGGUCCUCUUUCUGUCCUUGUUCCUUCACAGGACUCAGGGCAGGUGCAGGUGCUUUGGCGGUGGCCGGAACCAAGGCUCAUGGCUUGGCCCCUCCAGGGGGGCCAUAGUUAAGAGCACAGGGGCUAGAGUCAGGCAGCCUUGGGUUGAACUUCAGCGUCUGUCACUUAACCAGUGUGUGACCCAGGCAAGUUACAUGAUGUUUGAGUCUCAGUUAACUCACUCAUCACCUCACUCAUCAAUUGGGAGGUUGGGAGGCCUCCUUGGGUGUUUGGGAGGGAGGAUGGGCAAAACUUCUAGCCUGGUAAUGUGUUCCUCACAUGCUUUCCAUAAUUACUUAUUUUCCCCUUGAUGAGCUCCAGGGUCCUCACUUAAAAUGACGAAUGCUGACCUCACAAAACUGCAAAUCAUGAGUUGCCACUUAUUAAAUGCUUGCCAGGCAGUCGAAUAACGUGCUGUUCAGCUUAUCACCCCAGCAAUGGUGACUCUUCUGCAGGUGAAGCUAAGAGAGGUCAAAUGACUUGCUCAGUUCACAUAGCUAGGAAGUAGUGUGGCGAGGACUUGCUCCCAGGUCUCCUGCUUUGAAGCAGACGCCCUUUCCCAAGGUCAGCCGCCACCCUAUUGUGGAGGUGAAGUGGGCUGAUGGAUGAGCUUGUUCCUAGCAGCAGGCCUGAUACUCAGGAGUAGGUUGGGGUGGUAGUGGUGUGUACAUCUAGAAACAUUUGCUUCAUUCCCAUGGUCCCAACAAACCUAAGCCCAGACAGUUUAUGUUUCUAUUAUUAUUAUUAUUAUUGAGACAGAGUCUCACUCUGUUGUCCAGGCUGGAGUGCAAUGGCACAAUCUCAGCUCACUGCAACCUCCGCCUUCUGAGUUGAAGCAAUUCUCCUGCCUCAGCCUCCCGAGUAGCUGGGACUACAGGCUCAUGCCACCAUGCCCUGCUAAUUUUUGUAUUUUUAGUAGAGAUGGGGUUUUGCCAUAUUGGCCAGGCUGGUCUCGAACUCCUGACCUCAAGUGAUCUGCCCGCCUUGGCCUCCCAAAGUACUGGGAUUACAGGCAUGAGCCACUACACCUGGCCAAAAACUAUUUUUUAGUUAUUGAGGAAUAAAACUUCAUCAGCAUAGGCCAGGUGUGGUGGCUCACGCCUGUAAUCCCAGCACUUUGGGAGGCCGAGGCAGGUGGGUGGAUUACCUGAGGUUGGGAGUUUGAGACCAGCCUGACCAACAUGGAGAAACCCCAUCUCUACUAAAAAUACAAAAUUAGCCAGGUGUGGUGGCACAUGCCUGUAAUCCCAGCUACUCAGGAGGCUGAGGCAGGAGAAUCGCUUGAACAUGGGAGGUGGAGCUUGCAGUGAGCUGAGAUCGUGCCAUUGCACUCUAGCCUGGGCAACAAGAGCGAAACUCUGUCUCAAAAAACAAAAAACAAAAAUAAAACCCACUUUAUCAGCAUAAUACAGUAACUCCACUCCACUCCACUCCUAAGUAUAUGCCAAUAAAAAUGCAUAUGUACAUAUGUUCACCAAAAGGCAUACACCAGAAUGCUAGGCCAUCUACUCGCAUGUGCUCACUAUUCACAACAGCUGUCAACAAUGGAAUAGGUGACUAAACCACGGUCUUCUCAUCCGUGGGCUAGUCCUUGGCAAUGAGAAUGAGCAAACCAUUGCCACGAGCAACAACAUGGAGGAAUCUCACAAAUCCAACGUUGAGCAUAAAAGCCAGACACGAAAGAAAACACCGUUUGAUUCCAUUGAUAGGAAAUUCAAAACCCAAUCCAAUGAAUUGAUGGCAUUAAAACUCAGGAGCAUGGCUGUUUUAGGUGGGGGUGUGACGGAGGGGCACAAGGGGAUUUCUGGGGGUCUUUUUGAAUUUGGGAGUUGGUUACAUGCAUGUGUUCACUUUGUAAACAUUAAUUGAGCUAUACAUUUUAUGCUUAAAAGUGAAACAUGUAAAAAUCAUUGCUAAUAUAGGCCUUUCUGUGACUCUCCUUCUUUCCCAUUCUCCAUCCUUCCCUUGUGGUUUUCUGAAGUUGGCCUUCCCAAGUAAGUUUUCUACUCUUACUCCUUUGGUAUUGCUUGGGUAUCUCAAAAUUUUCUUUUGUUUUAGUUAUUUAUUUUUAUUCACUUUUGGGGCAUAGUAAAGUAUGAAGCAAUUAAAAUUUUAAAUGAAAGGUAGCCUGCUCCUUGUUUUUACUUGUGUUUUGCUGAACUUCAUGCUGCCGAGAUGAAUGUCUACAUGUUUGUUGCAUGUGUUGUGUGUGUCUCUAGGUCACUUACUUAAGAGGCUGCUGGAGAGGAUUCUACCAUAUCAGUGUGUCCCAUCUUGUUUUGUUACCCAGCCUCCCACUGAUGGGGCAGUUCGAUUGUAGUGGAUAUUUGGGUAUUAUGGUCUCCUUGCUGCAGUAGGCUUCCUUCUGUGACCUCCCUCCCCACUGUGCCUCUCCUUCCCCCUGUGGUUCUUCUGCUCCAUAAUCUUUUCCCUUUCCCAUCUCCCCACUGUUCCUCCAUUCCCUGCUUCCCAAUCUUUCUGACUGGGAAAGACCUAGGAUCUGUGCCGAUUGGAGGUGAGGGAGGGAUAGGAGAGGGACAGCCUUUUCCUUUUCCACAAAGGCUCCUCUUCCCCAAGAUCAAUGAUGAUUUAAAGAAAGAAAUAUUUCAUUAGGGGUUGACAUCUUAAUGAACCGUGCCAGGAACCUUCAAGGCACUCUCUAGGCUUCCUCGGUUUUAAGCGGGGCUCCUACCUCUGGGGGAGGCUUAUCAGUUUACCAUAUUGCCCCAAGUAGAUGACCAUGGUAGUGUGGGUAGCUGUGCCAGGGGCUGUGGAGGAGAGGGCCCCCAGGACUGGGGCGAGGCUGGCUUGUCCUUCUAGGUGCCAGGCUGACCGGGUGCCUGGGCCCUUGGAGGUAUUUGGAGUUCCUUCUGGGACGUUUAGGGAGUCAGAGACUCAGGCCUUGUCCAAAAGGUGGUGGGCAUGGGACUUUGGGCUGAUUGGUGGAAAAUCAGUCAUUAAAGAUCAGGAAAUAAGCGAUAGCUUGACAAGCAGUGAGCAAUUUCCCACUAGUUGGAACACAGCAUCUUUAGGUCAAAUGAGAUCCCUACAUGGAGGGAUUUCUGUGCAGGAAGAGAGCAGGACACACAGAGAGGGGCCAAGAGAGCAGACCCAGUGCCUUAUCCCUCCCCCAUGCACCCCACCCAUGGGGGUGGGGAUGGGGUGGAGGAUGCAUGAGGGUAGCAGAAGCCCCAGGAGUGGGCACAGAGAAAAGAAUUCCUUUUUCCUUCAUUUAGUUCUUCCUCAUCUUUUUUUUUUUUUUUUUUUUUGGACACGGAGCUUCCGCGUUGUUGCCCAGGCUGGCGUGCAGAGGUGCAAUCACAGCUCACUGUGAUCAACCUCCUGGGCUCAACUGAUCCUCCCACUUCAGCCUUCCGAUUAACUGUGACCACAGGUGUGAGCUACCAUGCCCGGGUAGAGAAGGGGUCUCUGUGUUGCGCAGGUUCGUCUCAAACUCCUGGACUCAAAUAAUUCUCCUGCCUCAGCCUCCCAAAGUGCUGGGAUUGCAGGUGCAAGCCACCUCGUCCGGCCCUUCCUUAUCUUUUAAGAGCUAUCCCACAUUUUCCAUCCACUUGAAGACUUUUGGAUUUAAGUCUCAAUUCUGUCACUUUUCUAGCCCCAAAUCCUGAAGCAAGGGGCUUAACCUUAGUUUACUCAACUGCAAGAUGGGAAGAAAAAUGAGACUCUGGCAGAGAGGUCGUGAGGACAAGUAUGGCUCAUGUAGGAUUCUUCUCAGUUUAGGCAUUGGAUAGACUAUAGCUACUGUUAUUCUUUCUUGAUUAACCCAGCCCACUUCUGCCUCUUUCCAGGUGCUCUUUAGCACUCCUAUGUCAUUGAUGUUAUAAUGUGUUGUUAGCUAACUUAUUUAAUAAGCUCCCAGUAACUUUUAACAAACCCUAUUGUUUGUUAACUGUUUAGCCAUUUUAUGCCUCAUUUCUCCAACUAGAUAAUAAACUCCUUAAUUUAGGGACCCACAAUUUCAGUCAUUUGGGGAUUUCUCAUUGCAUCCAGCUUAAUUUCUUUUGCAAGGUAGCUGCACAGUACAUGCAUAUUGAUUUGAUUAUGAUUUGAUACUUUAGAGCAAAGUUUAAAAAACAAAAAAUAGCCUAACGCUUUAGGGCAAGUUGGUGUCCUGCAGGUAUCAGCUGCAUGUUGUAGGACAUAUGUAAUAACUGUGUCUUCAGUGAUCGCAAGGAAAGAGCUAGCUAGGGUCAAGGGGGAAACCUGGGUAGAAAAUGGGACAAGGAAGACUCUCAUUCCCUCAGAGCCAUCCCCUUCUCUCAGAGGGCUGUGCUCCCCAUUCUUCUCAUCUCUACUCUGGCUCCCUUUCUGCUUGUUGACUUAGGAUGUCUUCAGAACUCUGUGCUUAGCAGAGGAUGUAUUCCUUCCCCAUGGAACCUGGAAGACCUGGGGCUUGGAGUCUCAGCUGCUGGCACUGGAGGGUGAGGUGGGAUAUGAAGGAGGGAAGUUAAAGCCCAGGUAGACUCACAUUGAAAAUAGCUGCCACCUGUUGAGCAUCAACUGUUCACCAGGCACUUUUAAUAUGUAUCUCUGAUUCCCACAACAGUCCUAUUUUGUUUUUGAGAGAAAGCAGUGCUCCAAAUGUCAGAGGCAAUGAAUGUAGAGUAGAAAUAAGUGAAGAUAAGAGUGUCUUUAUACAUCCCUUAUUGUGUGUGGCAUCUGGCUGGGUCCAUGGAGUGGGGCUCACACACUUCCUCAUCCUUGUAAUUCUAUGCCAGGCCUGGGCCCCAGGCCCCAGCUCCUUCCUGGUUCUCCUGCACCCCCUCUUCUUUCUGGUCUUCACCAUGUGCCCUAGGGUCUUCUCUCCUCCAGUCCCCUCUGCUCUUGAGCCAUGGCUCUCCAGCCCCCAGGACCUCUCUCAAGGUUGUUAGGCAGCAGGAAGUCCCUGGAGCCAGGCAGCUGAAGGCAAACUGAAGCUGGGUCUUGCUUAAAGAAGAACCACCCAUGCAUCAGACACUGUGCUAAGCACGCUCCACACAUGACCUCAUUUCACCUCCCAACAGUCCUCUAAGAUGAUGCAACAGAUACUUGUUGGUGCCCUGUCUGGUGCACUGUGACUUUUCACCCCUAAGGCUUCCAAUCACUAGUGCCUGACUUUCCUAGCCUAAGGGUUUCCUUUGGGAAUUAGAGCCCACUUUUCCACUGUGUGGGAGACCAGAAGUGCCAGGGAACUAACACUUCCUGGGGGAGCCCUCCACCCAUAACUGAUGGGAACUGGUAUAUAAAUACCCCUACUCCCUUACUCCCCUUGUGGGAUAACUCCGAGUCAUGUGUGCCAUGCAUACUCCCAGGGUUUCCUCUGUGGGACUGAGCCCAUCCUGUAGCUGGCUUGGUAACAUAUACUUUGUUGCCUCCUUUCCUUGUCUUACUUCCCCACUUUUCUACUGGUAUUUCCUUCACCUCCUAAAUCAACCAUUCGCAAUGGAAUAGUGUCUCAGGGGCUGCUUAUGUGGGAACCCAGCCUAAAUCAGGUUGAUAGUAUUAUUAUCUUCAUUCUAUAAAUGACAAGACUAAAGCUCAGAAAGGUUGAAAUUCAUACACGGUUCCACAAUUAUGUAAGUACAGCACCUGUCUUCAUACCCUGGCUUGUUACACACCAGAGUGAUCACCUCAUUGCUCUAGUAUACGGCUUCUUGAGGGCCCUUUCCCUCUCAAGAAGACUGGUUCAAGGCGAUUCCCCUUGGCCUCCUGCCUUGAGAGGUAGGAGGUGGGGAGCAGGGUGGGUCAGGGGUACACUGGGAGUAUUUCCAGCCCACCUAGCCCCCCGUCUCCCUGUGGGACACUGGCAAGCAGUCAUAGCCAGUCUCUGGAUUGCAGGCAGACAGAGAAGCAGAGAACACCUACGGGGCUGGAGAUAUGAUGAAUAGAAAGAAGUGAAAGCCACCUGGAGUGCUGGAAAAGAAGAGUACUGAAUCAGGGGUACAAGGCGAGGGCGGGCUCGGGGCUGAGGAAUCUUUCUGAGCAUUUGCAGUACACAGCAGCUCCUGCAAAAACAGAAGGAAUGAGAUGAGAGACAGGAAAGUAUUUAUUUUUUUCUGUCUUAUUUUAGAGUCAGGAUCUCACUUUGACACCCAGGCUAGAGUGCAGUGACAUGACCAUAGCUCGCUGCAGCCUUGAAUUCCUGGGCUCAAGAGAUCCUCCUGCCUUAGCCUCUGAGUAGCUGGGACUACAAAAGGAUUUCUUGAUGUUAGAGUUUGCUCAGCCAGGGAAUGUGGAAAGUCCCCUGCUGAGAACCUUCGGACCAGACAAGAAAUUGGCCUCUUUUAUGAGAGUGGAGGUGGGCCCCUUGGGACAGGAAAGACCUGAUCCCUCCAGAGACAAAAGUUACCUGGUGAGAACACCUUCAUGUUUUCUAUUUGUUUGGUUUUCAUGACAUGUUUGUCUUAGUUUAGGUUCUCCCUGAAGCAGACUCUGACAGUGAUUCAAGCAUAAGUGGUUUAUUUGGGAGGUGGUCCCAGAAAUACCAGUGGGGGAGCAGGGCAGGGAGAAUGAAGGGAAGGCAGCCAAUAAAGGGAGUGUUAUCCCACUGUCAGCAAGAGGAGUGCAGUCCCACUGAGGACUUGAGCGUGCGUAACACACACCGCACACAAGCCAGCCCACGGACGCAGGCCUUAGGGUACUCAUCCACCAACUUCCCCUUCAUCGUGGGCUGCGUCCUCCUUCUAGGCGCAUUCACUCUCCAGCACUUCCGGCCUGCUCUGGGCUGGAGCCAAGGGUGUUUCCACGGCCAGGAAAAAAGCCUCAGGCAAACAGCAGGUGUUGGCAGUAAGCAGGCUUCUACCUUUAGAGGCGAACACUGAGAGAGAUGGGCAGGGCGCCAGUGCCUGCCACACUCUGCCGGUCUGUUCUCCUGCUUAACUUUUCCUUUUCAUGAGUCUUUGUGGGCUCAUCUCAUCUCCCUCUGUCCUGUCUGAAGCACUGGGCGUUGCCCCACUCUGUCCUCGUCAUCUGUGCUCUCGGACAAGCCCAUCUACUCUCAUGGUUUUACCUUCCACUUUUGAGAUGGUGGCUCCCACUACUAUCCUGUGUGGGACCUGGAUCCCAUGUGCGUGUUUGUGGGCCUCCAGGGAUGGCACACUCAACAUGUCCCCAGCCCAAGCCAUCUUCUGUAUCCAUAACAUGCUCCACCUCUGCAUUUUCUCCCCAUUGGUGGCACCAUAAUCUACCCAGUCACUCUAGAAACUAGAAUCAUCCCUUGGUUCUCCUUAUCCCUUCCUCUUCACAUCCAGUCACCAAGUCCUGUGGCUUCCAAGGCAUUUCUCAGAGUCAUUCCCUCCUCUUUACCUCCACUUCUCCUACUAUUGGUCAGGGCAGGACCUUCAUCAUCCCCCAUCUGGAGUAUUCCAAUAGCUUCCUACCUGGCCUCCCCACUUCCAGCCUUGUCCUCUUCCGGAGCCUCCUUUCAGUGCAUCCUCCACAGUGGUGAAAAAGUUCUAUCUAACAUGCCAGCCCAGGCUGGGUGUGGUAGCUCAUGCCUGUAAUCUCAGCACUUUGGGAGGCUGAGGCAGAUGGAUUGCUUGAGGCCAGGAGUUCAAGACCAGCCUGGACGACAUGGCAAAACCCCAUCUUUAAUAAAAAUUAAAUAAAUACAAUUCCAGCCUGAACUUGUCAUGCCCUGCUUAAGAUGCAUUCAAAAUUCAAGCACCUUGGUUGGGUGCACAGGGUACAAGGUAUCCUUUCUUGAACCUCUGGUUCUAUCCCUGGCCACUCCCAGCUCUGCCACCUGGGACUUGUGGCAUGUGCUAUGCUCUUCCAUGUAGCUAGGCUUCCUCUCAGACUGUGUCCUCUGUUUGGAAUAUCUUUUCUCCCAUAUGCUUUCACUGCUGACUAAGACCCAGCUCAGAUGGCACCUCUUCUUGGAAGUCUUCCCUGAAUGCCCCAGGCUGGAUUAGACACUCUUCUUUUGUGUUCUUGUAUCAGUGCAAACAUCAGAAAAUCCACUUCAAAUGGGCUUAAAUAACAAUGAAAAUUGACUGACUCUUGUAACUGAAAGUCAAGGGAGCAGGACUCGCUGCAGAUGAUGUGUGAUCCAGGGGCUUAAAAUGAUGCCCUUGGGUGCUCCCAUUGCUUAACUCUGCCUUUUCCUGGGUGGGCUUUAUUCUUAGAGUCCUUGGAGGGAGUCCCAUCAGCUUCAGACUCACAUCCAGCCCACUUCAGUCCAGUGAAUUGUUCAAGCCAACACUUAGCUUAUUUGGACUUGACUAGGGAUUGACUUGCCCUUCUCCAAACCCAUCAAAAUGGCCAAGGGCUUACAGUGUUCUACUUCAGGGGUUGGUGGAUUAUGGCCAAAUCCUGCUUACCACUUGUUUCUGGAAAUAAAGUUGUAUUGGAGCACAGUCAUACUCAUUUGCUUACGUAUCAUCUGUGGCUGUUUUUGUGUGACCGGGGCAGAGUUGGGCAGUGGAGGCAAAGACCAGCAAAUUUUGCUGUAUUUUAACCUCUACAGGCUAUGAGGCAAAAUUGAGAAUAUGAUGCAGGGAUUUACAUAACAAGAGAGAAAACAAAUUUCCACAAAACUUUUAUUGAUGAAAUUAGAAUGACAAUAAUAAUUGAGAACUUUUGUUUGUACUACAGGUUUACUAAUAAGAAGAAUGAAAUUUGGGGAAAGGGGAUAACAUUUUGCUUGGUUGGGGUUCAAAGUUAACGCUCCCUAUUAUCAAAGUGACCACCAAUGUUCAUCUGUGAAAACCACUUAGCUAACAGACCAUACAAAACCAGGCAGGAUUUUGUCUGUGAGCCACAGUUUGCAGACUCCUGAAUUAAAUCAAAGCAUUACAGAGCUAAGGGAAGAGACAGUGGGAAGCUGAUGCUGGAGAUGAUACUGACCCCAUAGGUCUGUGGGAGGCAUCUUAUAAGGCAUUUCUUUAUAAGGCAAGUUCAUGUCCAUUGAGCUCCUUAAUCUUGACAACAAUUCCAUGAGGGUAGGCAGGGUAAGGAUGGUUGUACACUCUUCAGAGAGGAGACUGAGGCUCAGAGAGAAGUGGCUUGUCUGAAGUUUCAUAGCAAAGCCUCUCUGGGACACCUUUGAGGAUGCUAAGACAUGGGCCUUGGAACAUGUGCUUUGUUGAGUAAUUGAACAAUUAUGGUGUCUCCUGGUUGGAAGACAGGCUGAGCCUGCAGAGGGACAGGCUGGUCUGAACAUGGUCUGGAAGGCUAAGUUUCCAGCUGGCUCUGUGACAUCCAGUGGUCUCCAGGAAUGGGGCUGGUCAGCAUGGUGCCUAGGAACCCAGUGUGGCUUCAAGGUUCUCUGAGCAUAGGCCUGUCUCCCUAUGCAGGACUGGGGAUACCAGCAUAGCAGCUAGAAAGAAAUCAGGGCUGGGCGUGGUGGCUCACAUCUGUAAUCCCAGCACUUUGGGAGGCCAAGGCAGGAGGAUUGGUUGAGACCAGCCUGGGCAACAUAACCAGACCCCUUCUCUUUUUCUUUUUUUUUUUUGAGAUGGAGUCUCUCUGUGUUGCCCAGGCUGGAGUGCAAUGGCGCGAUCAUGGCUCACUGCAACCUCUACCUCCUAGGCUCAAGCGAUUCUCCUUCCUCAGCCUUCCAAGUAGCUGGGAUUACAGGCACCCACCAUCAUGCCCGGCUAAUUUUUGUAUUUUUGUAGAGACAGGUGUUUUGUAGAGAUAGAUGUUUCAUAUUGGCCAGGCUGGUCUUGAACUCCUUACCGCAGGUGAUCUGCCCGCUUCGGCUUCCCAGAGUGCUGGGAUUACAGGUGUGAGCCACCAUGUCUGGCCAUGAGACCCCUUCUCUACAAAAAAUACAGUAAUUAGCCAGGCAUGAUGGCGUGCGCUUAUAGUCCCAGAUACUCAGGAGGCUGAGGUAGGAAAAUCUCUUGAGCUCAGGAGGCGGAGGUUGUCAUGAACCAAGAUCUCACCACUGCAUUUCAGCGUGGGCAACAGAGCAAGACUCUGUCUCAAAAAACAAACAAAAAAAUAGAAAUCAGACUUCAGGCAAUAAUGCCCAGCCCCACAAACAAAGAUUUUGACCCUCUACCUCACUGCCUGCAGCCUUCAAUGCCUGGCCUCAUCUGGGUUCCUGAGGAGCAAGCCUGCAUCCUGUGUCCUGUGGGCAGGCUGUGGGCAGCCCUCCUCCAGGCUUACCUUGCCUCAGGUAGGGCUGCCCAAGGUCAGGGAGGGUGGGUGGAGGCAAUCAGAUGUGAAGGACAGAUGCUGAGUUCCUUUCCAGGAUGAUGAUUUGUGGGUACUGAGCAUGUGUGUUCUGGUACAUACAAAUACACAGACACUUCACACAUUCCCUGUCUCACACACGUUUUCACACUCCCAUAGUCACCUCCAUCUUCACUACCACCAUCUCAUACUCACAUACAUGCACAGUCUCGUGGUUUCUCACUUUUUUUUCUUUUUUUUUUUGAGAUGGAGUCUGGCUCUGUCACCCAGGCUGGAGUGCAGUGGCACGAUCUCAGCUCACUGCAACCUCUGCCUCCCUGGUUCUGGUGAUUCUCCUGCCUCAGCCUCCCAAGUAGCUGGGAUUACAACCAUGCACCACCACACCCAGCUAAUUUUUGUACUUUUUUAGUAGAGACAGGGUUUCACCAUGUUGGCCAGGCUAGUCUCGAACUCCUGACCUCAGGUGAUCUGCCCGCCUUGGCCUCCCAAAGUGCUAGGAUUACAGGUGUUAGCCACCGCGUCCAGCUGGCUUCUCACAUUUUUUCAUGCACUCUCAAGCUUGCACAACAUAUUCAUAUGCACAACAUGUUCAUACAUACCUCUAUUAGUUUCCUGGGACUGCCACAACAAAGUAUCACACACUGGGUAGCUUAAAACAACAGGAAUUUAUUGUAUCAGUUUUGGAGGCCAGAAGUCCAAAAGCAAGGUUCCUUCUGAGACUUGUGGGGAAGGGCCUUUCCUUGCCUUUGCUGGCUUCUGGUAGCCCCAGGUAUUCUUCGGUUUGGAGGUGCAUCACUCCAGCCUCUGCCUCCAUCUGUCUCUGUGUCUUCACAUGGACAUCUUAUAAGGACACUAGUCAUAAUGCAUGAGGGCCACUCUAUUCCAGUAGGGACUCAUCCUAACUGAUUACAUCUGCAAUGAUACUGGUUCCAAAUAAAAUCAUAUUCGGAGGUUCUGGGGUUAGGACUUCAAUAUAUCUUUUUUGGGGAGGAGCACAAUUCAACCCAAAAUACCACCUACAGCCAUAAAAUCUCACAUACAUAGGCCAUACUGCCAUAGUGACACAGAUAUAAAACACACAAUCCCAUAGUCACAAAAAUCACACACUCCCAUAUACACUUUCAGGAUCAGACACUCCCAUGGUCCCCCCACAUGCACGCAUACACACACAUGGCGAGGUCAUCACAUACACACUCCUUUAGUUUCCCAGUCUUACAGCCCUACACACCCCCUCCAGUCACACCCCUUCGCACACCCUCCUGCCCCCGCCUCACUCCCAGAGGCCACCCUGUGGAGGUCAUGCUCAGAGACCCGGCACAUUUGCAGCCUCGCACUUGGCUCAUACAUCUCACAUCCUCUCCCACCCACACAGUCUCUCCCCUCUGACUCCUCCGCCCAGCUCACCAGUUCCCGCACCAACCCUCAUGGCAAGGAGGCAACAGACUGGCUCUGUUCCACUCCAGCGGGGGCACCAGGUGGCUCCCCCCUUGUCCUCUGGAAUCUGAUGCCCCCACAAGCCUGCCUUUUCAGGCUCCCACGCUUCCCUCUCAGGGACAGACAGACAGAAACAUCCACACACUCUCAUGCUCACACACGCGCCCCUCCGGCAGCCCCACGGCAGCAGUCUGUUCCUCAUUAUGGGCCAAUGCGCCUGUUUACUCACCCAGCUGGAGAUGGUUAGAGAGUGAUAAAUAAUGAAAGAGAAAACAGGCUUUUCCCCUCUGUGGCUUCUAUUUAUGUAAUAUGUGUCACUGUGCAUUCACAGACUUUGUUUCGGAGCUGGUUGCAGGAAAUAGUUUAUUUUUUCCGGACGGUGGCUUAAGGGGUGGGGAGGUGGGGGGCAGGGUUUGGGUUUCUGAUCUCACGCCCAUAGGAGUUUCGGAAUCUGGCUCCCAGAGUCCUCUUCCCCUGGUGCCUCCUCUCCUCGCCUCCCCUGACAUCCCCGGGGUGGGCAUCAUGGCUAGAGGCUGCCUCAGAACCAGGUUCUCCCACUCCACCUAUUUGGAAUGGGCUGGGGUGGUUGGGGGCCCCUCCCAGCUGCCUCUGAAACCUCCCAGACAGAUGGGCUUGUUUUAAGAGCCAGACAGCUUGAGGCUGGACUCCCAGAAAGGAGGCAGUUGGACAGGGUCUUCCUAGGUAGCCUGCACCUGUUGUUGGGGGAGGAUGCAAAAGGAUUAAUUCUAUAAAAUAAGAAAAAAAAAGAUCCAUACCUCAUGUUCACUUAGCACUUUCAUCCCCGUGGUCUCUCUGAGGCCUCACAACUUUUAAUGGCUGCUUCCCAGGUGAGAGAACUGGAGGAGGGCUUGCCAUGGUCUGUGCAACUGGCUGAUGAGGAGCCAGAACUUCACACUCAGGCCUCUGAGUCCAGAAGAGCCUCACACACCCCACUGCCUCCUCCUCCCAAGGAUGCCUCCCUUGGUAAAGUUCUGGUUGCCCUCACUCAUUCUAAGGUGAUGGGAGUAGUUAUAAGGGUGUGGGGGUUGGAAUUUGGGGAAUGGUGAGUCAUCAGAGGUCUGAGAAGUGUCCCCUUCUCCACCCUUUCCUAAACAUUAAGGUGAGCCUCCUUUGGGUGACAAGCCAGGGAAGGAAGAAGCAGCAGAAGGCUGCCCUGCUCCCCAACCCCCAGUGCAGGGAGGCUCUUGGGAAGCUGGAAGGGCACCUGCCCCCACCUGAGCCUGUCUUUUUGAGUGCCAGGGCAGGGAGACAAUGUCUUUGUUUGACAUGGAGCCCUGGUUGUAUCCCAGGCCACCUGCUGGGGGGACCCAGAGGUUCUGACCUUUGAGGAAUAUAGCAUCCACUAUGGAAAAUGGGCCCAGAAGCCCCCAACUCCUGCAGACUGUGGGGGAUGAAUAUAUACAGGUGCCAUGGGAUUAAGGUGCAGGGCAGAAUCCUGCCCAGUGACCUCGGGGUUCUUGCAGGGAGCAUCCCACAGGAAUCUCCUGGCUGCGGGGUGAAGCAGCCACCUUCCCAAGACAAGGACUUUAAACACGGUCUGACAAACAAGAGCACAUAUGGGCCAAGGGCAAAAGAGAAAAAGUGCUAAGGAGGCGGUUUUCUAAUUUAGUGGGUGUCAGAUUCACAGGGGAGCUUAUUAAAUGCGGAUCCCCAGGCUCCUUUCCUGGCGUUGAUUCAGCAGGUCGGGGGGGUGGGGGGCAGGAAUCAGCAUGGUUAGCAAGUUCCUGAGAGUUCUUGGACUGGUGGUUUCCCAAAGACUGGGAGACAACAGUGCCCUAUGUGGGCCCUGGAGGCAACCCCCCUGCCCAACGCAUAAAGAUGAGAUGCAAGCAUCAUGGUUAGGUCAGGAGGGAAUUUGACUUCCCCCAAAGAGUGAGAAUGAUUUGGUUGGAGAAUGAUAAAAUUUAUUUGGUCCAAAGGAAGGGAGGGAGGAAGAGAGGAAGGAAAAUAUAAUUUACCAAUACCUAUAUGUGCCAAGCUGUUACAUGAUGCUUUUCGUUUUGCUUUGUGCUUUUGUUUUUCAGAGACAGGGUCUUGCUAUGUGGCCCAGGCUGGAGUGCAGUGGCACAAUCAAAUCAUAGCGCACUGCAGCCUCGAAUUCCUGGGCUCAAGCGAUUCUCCUGCCUCAGCCUUCCGAGUAGCUGGGACUACAGGUGCAUGCCACCAUGCCUGGCUGUUACACGACAUUUUUACCUGGCUGCUUUGACUUUUUGACAUUCAUAUCCAUUUUUGGAACCUAAAACGCUGUCAACAUUCUAUUUCUUAUUACCAAGUAAUGCUCAUACAGACAUACCCGCCACAGCCCGAGUCAAAACUUUGUGUCAGCUGGGAUGUUGUGCACACCUUGGAGCAUCUACCACAUGCCAGGCAUUGUGCUUUGCAUGUACUGCUUUGUUUUUCACUGCACCGCAACACCGACAGGCAAUACUAUUCCCAUUUUACUGAUGAGGACAGCAAGGGUCAGAGAGGUUUAGUCACUUGCCUAAGGCCACCCGGCUACAUCAACCCUGGCAACAGGAAGAGCUGGUGCUUUUGUUUUUUUACUGAUCCAGGGAGAGGCCCUAUUAGGGAGGUAGAGGGACUGAAUCCAGAUCCUGCUUUAUAGCCCCCUCUCCAGGACUCCCUCCCUCCCACUCUGGAAUGGAGAGGUGGAUGGAGAGGCACCCUCUCUGCCACUCACUCAACCCCUCUGCCUUUGGGACCCUAUGGACUCUCAUACAGCCCACCCAGCUUGCACCCUGAGCUCUCUCCCAAGAAGCUGAGCACCUGGGGUCUCAGGCACUCCCUUCCAAUUCAGUCCCUGGAGCACUUAUGGCUCUGAGGGAGUCCCCGGAGGGGGGCUGAAAGAGGUGGGGGAGCUUAAGGAGCACCUUUCCUGGGCUUCCAGGAGCCUCUUACAUCCCUAUCCCCUUGGCAGAAUGGGUGUAUCACAACUGGAGGGUGGGGGUGUAUGGGGACGGCAGAGCUGGCCAGACCUAUGGUCCCAGAUGUUUGUUCAGGCUGUGGGCUGAGCCUGAUUUCAGAUGUGUGGCAGCUUCAUGGGAGUCCUGCCCAGACUCCCACAUGGACACUCACUUGCUUACUUGCACACACGCGUGCCCUCAUGCGACUCCCCUCCACACAGAGUUCCACUUGUGAAAACCCAGACAAAGCUCCAGACUAAUGUCCCUGUGGACAGUGACAUGAAUGGUAAAAAUCAUCCUCAACCCCAGGUGCUCUGCACACGCUGACUCUAAACUUCACAUCGAUCCUGCAAGGAUGCUUUCCCUGAUGACCUCCCCCUACCCACCACACACCUUAUAGAUGAGAAAAAUGGGCUUCAGAAAAGCCAAGUGACCGGUCUGAGGCCACACAGCGACCCCACGGCAGAGUGGGGACUGGGGUCUGUCUGUUGGGGAGCUCACCCGCAUCCCUCUCACCAGGCUGCUUUUCCCGUCUGGCUCCCAGGACCCAGCAGGUGUUCAGCACGUCCACUGAUGAAUGUGUAUGUCUGUGUUUUCUUUCACACACAGUGCAGGCUCCAGCUGCCCCUCUCUCCAAACCCACUCUGAGCUGUGAUCUCCCUGCAGGCUCAGAAACUUGCAGACCACUUGGCUUCCUCUACAGCCAGAACUAGCGCCAGCCUGAAUUCUCUGGGCUCCAGCCUCAGUUUCCCCUGAGUUUCUUAGGCCUGCACACCUGAGCAAGUCCCUCCCUGCUUUGAGCAGACCCACAGCACUGGUUGGGCUCCUGCUCCAGGCCUGACCCCCACUGUGGAAGCCUCUGGGGUCCAGCCACCUCCAUUCUCCUCUCUUCUUCCCAAACGUCAGGCCUGGCACUGCCCCCGCUCAGCCCCCGCUCCCUACGGCCCCCUGGGAGCCCAGGCUUUGCUUGAGGGCAGCAAGUGAAGCCGGCUGUAACAGAGAAACCUCAGGCUCCUCUUUAGAAGUCCCCGGAGGAGGCAGAUCUGAGGAAAGGCUGCCAAGAAGGCGCCUGCAGCAAUGUCAGCUUGAGAACAACCCGGCUGACAGGAUGCUGAGCGGGGAUUAAGGUCGGGAUCAGGGAAGCCAGGGAAAUGAAGGCAAGUUCCCUGCUCCCCUCGCUGCCACCGCUGCCGCUGCGGCUGGGUUUGUCUUCUUGUUUGUUCUGGCUCUGGGAAACUGGGCGGGGAGGGAAGUGGGCAGGGAUGAGGUGGGGAGGUGGAGGGAAGGACAGGGGGGAGGUGGAGAAGGGCUGGUAUGGGGGUGGAGGGAGGUGGAGGGAAGAGAAAGUCAGGCCUCCUCUGGGUCUUGGGGCUCAGCCAGGGAUGGGGCAGAGGCACAGAUGGCCCUUACCUGGGACCCUUCCCCUAUACCUGUCCCUAUAGCUGGUCUGCCAGCCAGUGGAGCAGCCAGUCGCCCCCCGACCCCCACCCCGGAACCCUCCCUCAUGUCCUGAGUGUGGGUGGCAGGACCAGUGAGAACACAAUUGACCUUGCCCUGAGAGGCUCCCAGCUCAAUGAAGCAGAUGCAGUCUACCUCCAGAGAGGAGGUGAGCCUGUUUCCACCUGUCUACACAUGCAAGAUCCCCUGUUCUGGGGAAAGACCAUUACCCCAACCUGCCUCAUCAUUGACAUGUCACAAGAGUCCAGCCAAAUGGGCUACUGAUUUCCAGGUCAUCCAGUGCACCACAAUUCUAGUGAAACCUCAUAUCCUUGCAUUGCCAUUGGUGUGGUAGUGAAGAACGUGGCUUCUGGUUUCAGACUGCAAGGGGUCACCUUUUGGCUCUGCCACUGAUUUGCUAUGUCACAUUGGGCAAGCUGGCUAACUUUCUAUGCCUCAGUGGGAUAAAAUCAUAGCACCUCCUCAUAAACUUGUCAGGAAGAUAGAGGGAGUGGACACGUGCGAAGUGCUUGGCAUAGGGCCUGCCAUGGAGGACAGAAGACAUACGCCAUAGGGUAGCUUUAUUUAUUAUUGAGGCAGAGUACAGGAAUAAGUGUGGCAAUUUGAAGUGACUUGGCUGAAAGCUUCCUGGGGGAAGGGGUGUGGAAAUCUGAUUUUGGAAGCUGAGACUGGGCAGGGGUAGAGAAGUGAAUUAGGGGUAUGGAACAGAGCUCCCAUUUGCCAGGUGAGUGAGUUAAGGAUGUAUCUGGUGAGAGGCAGAGAGGAUGCAUUUUCUAGAAGCCCUCAUCCCAGCCAGGCUUUCUCCAAAGUUCCCACUUUAACUAGGGGUAACUCUUCCAGCCCUGCCAAGGGCAAGCCAGGGGUGCCAAGACCAUGAAAAGAUGCAGUUUUUCAUGGUGACCUUCCCAGAAUGGAGUCUAUUCUAGAAACCCUAGCCAUUCAGGGAGACUCCACUUGUACCUGGGUUUUCUGGACCUGGCAAGGGAAGAAACAGGCACAGAGAGUACAAACCUGGAGGCAGAUCAUCCCUGGGGUUGGGUUCCAGCUCUGUGACUGAUCAUCUAUGUGCCUUGGAGCCAGUCAAUUAGCCUCUCUGGACCUUAGCUGCAGGGUCUGUGAAAUGAGAUAGUAAUAUGUACCUUAGAGUUGUAAUGAUGAGCAGUUACUCCAUAACUAUCCACUGUUGAUAUUCAGCUUAGCAAAGAGUUGCUGAGGUCCAGCCAGCUACUGGGGCCCCAGUGAAUGAGAGACCCUUUCCUAGCCCUUGAUAGCUGGUGGCCUGCAUGUGAGUCCAAAUAUGAUGCUGAAGGCAGUGGUGCUACCUUAAAGGUCCACCUGGGAACCAAAGAGAAGGAGUUCCUGGCAUCCACAUCCCAGGCUGCAGGGCCUGCUCCCCUGGCCCACCCUGCAGCCCUGCUUGGGUGUCCCUAUCUCUGGACACCCUGGCCAGCAGGCUGGGGAUGGGGAGAGUGUUGUAGGGGGAGGGGAAUGAGAACCUAGGAUGGGGUUCUGGUAAUUGGGGAAAAGCUUUGCUGGGUCUGAUUUGUGGGGGAAAGCCUUAGGCAAGGAGGCCCAGUCCCUGCAGAAGUGUGUGAGGAGCACCUUAUUGGGGAUUUUAUCUCUAGGGGCCUGGUUCUAGAAUUUUAAAAACACCUUUUCUUUUCUUUUUGUUCUGUUAAUAGAAGUUAUGUAUAUUUAUUGUUUAAAAAAAUGGAAAAUACAGGCCAGGCAUGGUGGCUCAUGCCUGUAAUCCCAGCACUUUGGGAGGCUGAGGCGCGUGGAUCAUGAGGUCAGGAGUUCAAAACUAGCCUGGCCAAGAUGGUGAAACCCCGUCUUUGCUAAAGCUAUAAAAAUUAGCCAGGCGUGGUGGCAGGUGCCUGUAAUCCCAGCUACUCGGGAGGCUGAGCAGGAGAAUCGCUUGAACCUGGGUGGCAGAGGUUGCAGUGAGCCAAGAUCCAGCCACUGCACUCCAGCCUAGGUGACAGAGUGAGACUCCAUCUCAAAAAAAAAAAAAAAAAAAAAAAAGGAAAAUACAGAAAAGCAUAAAAAAGGAAAUAAAGAUCAGCCAUAAUCUUCCCACCCAGAGAUAACCAUGGUACGACUUUAGUGUAUCUCCUAGUUUUUUUUAAGCUGACUCUCAAACACACAUUUACACACACUCACAUGGACACACACAUUCACACACACAUAUUCACAAAUAUACACUCACACGCACUCACACAUUUACAUACACAUAUAUGUAACUUUUUGUUACAUGUUUAAUGUACACAUGUCUUUAAAAGUUCAGAAACAAGAUCAUGGAAUCAUGAAUACAUCACCAUUUUGUCAACUAAUAUUUUUAUUAAAUAAAAUAUUGAUAACUUUUUCCCCAGGUCAUGACAUAUUCUUCUCCAACAUAAUUUAAAAUGACUGUAUAGUGCUCUGUCUUUGGGCAUAAGGCAUAUCAUUUUAUCAGUCAUCACCUGUUGGUCAUCCAUCCAUUUCUAGAUUUUUGCCAUUAUAAAUAAUACUGAGGUGAACAUCCUUGCAGAGAAAUCUUCGAGGGGGUCGCUAACUUUCCAAUUGUCUAUUCAUGUCUGUCUACUCCCGGCUUCGAUUUUGAGGCUUUCUAGGCAGGAUCUGUGUCUGGUUUGUUGUGACCCCAAAGUCUAGCUUGGCUGCUGGUUCACUGUAGGCAUCCAAUAAUGGUUGAAUUGAGUUGCUUUUCUAGAGCAUGUGCCCUCGGCUGAGGAAUUGGGAAGGUGGAUAGAUGAGGAAAGAGCCCACCUUUCCUGCUAGAACACUCAGGGGUCCCCAGUGCCUCUAUGCUGGACCUGCUAACUUCUCCUAGGAAAACACCUUCCCAAGCACAGAGCCACUGGCCAUCCCAGAGGCUCACUGAAUGGCCCUCCUGUAUCUCUUAUCUUCCUUGCCUGGACCCUCCCCCCUCAUCCCCUUCCCCCCUCCGCCCCCGAUCUCUGACUCUUGAGUUCUUUUGUUGUGUUUUCAAGCUGAAGGCCCAGCAGACAGAGCCCUCUCACCUGCCCGUGUCUGCUGGACAAUGUUGCGGCAGCUCCCAGCUCCCCAUACAGUGGCCUCCUCCGUGGCCCCCACUUUUGACAGCACAGCCUGCUUGGCUCCUGAGAAGUGCCCACGUGGCACACCUCACCCCUGCCCCUGCUCUGCCUGCCACCUCUCAUGGCACCAAAGGAGCCUUUGUCCCUUCCUCAUGGGGGCUCUCAGCAGAUGCUGACGUUCUGACUGAAACAGAUUUGUAGAAUCAUGGAUUUUGAAGUGGGGACCCAGGUCCCAGUGUUUCAGUGGGUCUUUAAAAAAGAGAGAAAGGGAGAGAGAGAUGGAGAGAGAGAGAGAGAAAGUGAGCAACAGCACGAGAGGUCAUUCCGGACUCCUGACGCCGCCAGUCCCGCGGUGAGACGUGAGCGCCAUUGGCGUCCGUGGCCUCUGUUUCCGUGGCAACCUAGUAACCAUUAAUUUUCAAUUAAAGGAGACAAAAAGCUCGAUGACAGCUCCAGGUCUGCUGAAGAUGUCAAGAAUCUGUAUUAAUAUACAGCAAGAGAGCAUAAUUGUGUGUCCAUCUUCCAGAGCAGCGAAAAAUGGAGGGAUAAUUACCAGCUCGAAAGCCACUCUGUAAUUUAGUUCUUACUGUCACCACAGCCCUACACAUUAGCAUAAAUUAAAAGCAGAGUUUAUUGUUAUCAAAGUGCAUUGAUAUCGCCAGACCUGCUUUCUUCCUUUUAACUGUUUGUUGUGGGUGAGUGACUCCCCAACUCUUGCCAGGGUCUCCCCAGGGUGGGGAGAGUGGAAGUGUGGCUGCUAGACCUGAAAGGUCUAGCUGCCAGCCUCCUUCAGGGCAGGUGGGGACAAGGGUCAGCGUGUUGCCCCUCUGAUAGGGUCUGGGGAUGAUGCAGGGGAUGGAGGAGGCUUGGAUAUUUAUUCACCUUUCACAUGUAAGUGCUUUGUUUUGCCAACGAGUGCUCCAGCUCUUUGCAGAGGGGGCUGCUGCCCCAUCGCGGGUCCCCCUUUAGUGCCUAGUACAGUGCAGGGCAGGUGAUGAGUGCUCUAAGGCAAUGUGUUAAACAAAGGAAUGAGUGCAUGUGUAGGGGUGUUCUCCCGGGGUGAAUGUCAGUGGAGAGACAUUGCAUUCCCUGUUCAGGGCGUGGCCAGCUCAGGUGGAGAUGCUCCUGUCUGUGGCCCAGUUCCUGCUUGGCCACCCAGGACCCCAGCUCCCCAGAGGGGUCCCUCUGGACCCCACGCCCCUAAUCUUGCCGCUUGGCCACCCACCUCCAUGGCCUGGGUGCUGCCACGGCCACCGCCUUCAUACUCACCUCCGAGUGGUUGGAGAACCUCGAAGUGUCUCGCUGCCAGAGUACCAGUGACAGCCACAGAAAUCAUGAGUUUCCGUGAAUGGGGGAUGCGGAGUUUUCUUGUAUUCUAUCCAGAGAGAGCUGUCCUUCAGAGGGGAAUUUAGUGUAAUUACCCUUAAGGGAGCGAUCCUUACACAGUCAGUCACAACACUGACCUCCUGGCUGAGAUUUGACAGCAAAAUUGCAGGCUGUGUACUCAACAGAAGGGGCAUCCUCCUUUUUUGGGUGUUGAGGGGGGAGGCGGGAAGGAAGGAGGAGGAGGGAAAGGAGACUCAGAGGCUUUGAAAAGAAAAGUGCUGGCUUACAGCUGCCAGGCAAGCGGGUUCUCCUUGGCAAGGCGUCUACAGGGCAAGGAGAAGGUGUCCAGAGAUCCCCUGGAACUUCACCUGGCUCAUGAAGAGGGGCCAAGGUAGGCACUCCAGCCCUUCAGAUCUUUGAGCUCUGGUUUGUGAUCUUAGCUAAAGUUAAUCUUAUUGUAAGAAGGAUUUGGAGGGUACUAGGCACUAUUUGAUGAACUUCUCAGGCAUGUUUUCCCAAACAUAUCUGUCCUCGGUCCCUCCCCGGUGCUAGAAGUUCCACUGUUCCUUUUACCUUUAAGUUGACAGAUCCAAGACCCUGUAAACCUGCAUCUGGGUUACCUGGAAGGACUAAUGUGUUAAUCUGUGACCACUCCAAAUUUAGCAUGGAUGCAUCUCUCAGAUGUGCUGGCCCAUCACAUGACUGAAGCCAAAGGACACAGGGGUCAGGCAAAUUUCCGUGAAGGAUUGGAAAAAAUCUGUUGUAUGGGUAGAUCUUGAUGGACUGUGAAGCCUGGCAAGGAAUGGAGGUAAAUCCCCAAAUCUCAAAGCUGGAAGGGAUCCCAGAAGCCAACGGGUCCAAACUUCGCAGAGAAGGAGUCCCCACCUCUCUGUUCUACCUCUACCCAAAACUCAGGGCUGGGCGCGGUGACUCACGCCUGUAAUCCCAGCACUUUGGGAGGCCAAGGCAGGCAGAUCACCUGAGGUUAGGAGUUUGAGACCAGCCUGGCCAACAUGGCAAAACCCCGUCUCUACUAAAAAUACAAAAAUUAGCCAGGCAUGGUGGCACGCGCCUGUAAUCCCAGCUACUUGAGAGGCUGAGACAGAAGAAUCACUUGAACCUGGGAGGUGGAGGUUGCAGUGAGCCAAGAUAGUGCCAUUGCACUCCAGCCUGGGUGACAAGAGUGAAAUUCUGUCUCAAAACAAAAAACAAACAAAAAACAAAACAAAACAAAAAACAACUCAGCCACCUCUGCCCACACAAUUCCUAAUAGCACGAGCUAGCUGUCUCUAUAGAGGUCCAUCCUGCUGUUAAAUAGCCCGGACCAUUGCCAAAUUCCUCCUGAGUGCAAAUGAAAAUCUGUGUCCGUGAAACUUCUUCCUUCCUUUUGGAGCCCCUUUGGAACAAAUCUAGGCUUUCUCUGGCGGGACAGCCCUUCAGCUACGUGGGGACCAUGCUCAGCUAUUAGUCGUCUUCUCCUCCAAGUCUGGGACCCAGUAGACUCAUCACCAUCUGGCUCAUCCUUUCAGGAAAGUGCCCAAAAGGAGUCUGAAAGGGCACAGGACAGCCCAAAAUGCAAAUCCAAUGUUUAUUGAGCAUCUGCUAUGUUCCAGGCAGAAACACCCACCAUAUCUCUUUUCUUUUUUUUCUUUUUUUGGAGACGGAGUCUCGCUCUGUCACCCAGGCUGGAGUGCAGUGGCACGAUCUCAGCUCACUGCAGCCUCCACCUCCCAGGUUCAAACAAUUCUCCUGCCUCAGCCUCCCAAAUAGCUGGGACUACAGGCUCAUGCCGCCAUGCUCAGCUAAUUUUUUGUAUUUUAGUAGAGAUGGGAUUUCACUGUGUUGCCCAGGCUGGUCUCAAACUCCUGAGCUUAGGCAACCCGCCCGCCUCGGCCUCCCAAAGUGCUGGGAUUACAGGUGUGCACCACUGCGCCUGGCCCCAUAUCUCUUUUCAUCCUCUCAACCAAUUCAAUGAAGGGAGGAUAUAUUAUUCCCAUUUUACCGUAGAGAAAAGAAGGACGCAAGAAGCUUCAAAUCACUUGCCCCAAAUCACCUGCCAGCAAGGGGCAGAGCCAGAACUGGGAGCCCAGACUCCUGACCCAGGCCAAAGACUUUCCUUGAGAAUCCAGCUGCGUUGGUCCCUACACCCCUUGGCCACCACUGGGUUUGGGGAAUGAGCUCUGCCAUCAUUCUCCUGUCUCUCUACCUCCAUGAUGCUUUUCUGCAGGGCCUUUCUCUCCACUUGGCAGGGAGAAGGAAUUCCAGGGAAAACCCAGCUUAAGUCCUGCAUCCUCCCUGAAGGCUUCCCUGCCCAUCCCAGGCCUCAGUAACUGCUUCAGUAUAAUGACAACAUUGGACGUUAUUUACUGACCACAGGACUAUGCUUCAGCACCUACCCUAAGGUAUUUUAUUCAAUCCUCCAGGCUUUUGCCCUGGCUGAGGGUUCUGCCUGAGCUUCUCUCCCCUCAGAUACCUGCAUCUCCUUGAAGGACCACCUUCUCUGGGAGGUCCAACCUAACCAUCCUUUCCCAGGUCUUUGUACCCGCUUUAUUUCUUUCUAUAGCUCAUGUCACCUUCCGAAGAGUAUUUAAUUUACUGAUUAUUGUGCUCAUUGCCUAUCUUCCUCCUCUUUAAGUUCCAAAAGGACAGAGGCUGUAUUUUGUUUACUGUUGCAUCCCAAGCACCUAGAACAGUGCCUGACAUACGGUAGGUGUACAAGCGAUAUCUGUCAAAUGACAGGAGGAAAACUCAAAACCCUUUGAGGCAGGUGUGUUGUUUUCACAGCAGAGAGGAACUAGGGCUCUAGUUCUGGGUUAGGUGGCUUGUCCAAGGUCACAGAGCUGGCCAUACCCAGCUGUGUAUUGGGCUGCUGAGUAUGAGGCUGUUUGGGGUGGGCCUUGAGCCUGAGCCUGUUCUGAGCUUUGUGUGUGUGUGUGUGUGUGUGUGUGUGUGUGUUUGGUGGCUUCCUAGGGGAUUUCUGCCUGCAUUCCAACCAGCAGGUCCUUCCAGGCACCCCUCCCCUCCUUUACAGGGCUUCUUCCCUUCCUGCAGCUCCUUUCAGCCCCUGCUUUCUUGCCCCAAGCCUGGAGAGGCCUGUGAGUGCAGUCCAGCUAACUUCCCUCCCCUGAGCUCAUGGGUCCCUGCCUGGGCUGAAGUCCACACCGGGAGCCCAAGGUGCCCCUGGAAGGCCCCCACCCUGGCCUCCGAGUGGUUCCUCUCCCCAGAGAUGUAAAUCCGGGCCCCAGAGUGGCCACACAGAACAUACAUCUUAAACAAACACUUCUCCUUGCUGUUUAUCUCCCUGGCCUUUAAACAAACUCUUUCAAAGGUUUCUGCUGAUAGGAGAGAUUUACUGAAAACCAUUCCUUGCUUAAAAGCCCUGGGUUUAUGCUGCUGGGGUGGGGGCAGUGGGGCCUUCAGGCCUGGGGUUUCUCUGCCUCCGGACCACAUGUUUAUCCUCCAGGCCUUGAUAGAGGAGCAACACAGACUAAUCUUUAUGGAAAAGAAAAUAAUAAAAGCAGGAAAGGGGAGGGGUGGAGGCUGGGGUGCGUUUGGUUCUUGUCACUGACUCCAAGAGGUUGUGGCAGGUCCGGGUGUGGCAGUGCCCACCACACUGUAGCCCUGCCUGUUGGGGGUGGGGUGAGCUGAGCAUCUGGGAGGGGUGGGGCUCCCUUGAACUUUGGACAGAAGGCCUUUGGGCAGGUGAGCCUCUUCUCCGGCUUCCAGAGGCCAGAGUGGGCCUCUCCCUGCUGGAUGGGGGUUGGAGGGAGGGCAGCAGUCACAUGAUCAUGUCUAUUCCUGCAUCAACCAACAGUCAGAAGGCACCUAGCCUGUGCCAGGACCUGGGGGUGGAGAGAGGAAUAGUUGUUAACAAUUACUUUAGCAUUUCUGUGGGCCUGGUACUGUUCUAAAUCGCUUACAUGAAUCAACUCAUUUAAUGGCCCCAGUAGAUUCUAUAAUUAUCCCAAUUUUGCAUAUGGGGAAACCAAGUCACAGAAAGAUUACUGGCUGUACUCCAGAGGUUUUGGUUUAACUGGGAUGCAGGCUGGGCAUUGGAUUCCAGGAUGCAUCCCAAGUGGAAAAAGAUUGACAUUCCCAUUUCCCACCCACUCCCCACUUGUCCUUCCAAUAAUACAGUAUCUCUUCCAUUUCAAGGCGUCUCACAAUUCAUUGACAGUGGUAUUUUUUUCUUAGUGGAUCGUAAAAUAAUGGUGCAUCUUACAGUCUUAGGUUCAACAAAAUAUAGUAAUAGAAAACUAACCUCUACCAACUGUGGGGACUGAGCUGGAUGAUUUGCAUCCAUUAUCUCAUUUAAUCCACCUCCCAAAGCUGCAACAUAGGUCACAGGAGCACCUCUGAUGAGAAAACUGAGGCACCAAGAAUUCAAUAACCUGCCCAAGAUCACCCAGCUGGUGGGAGGUGGAGGCAGGAUUUGAACCCACAGUUAAAUGGCCUAAUAUUUAUCCCCAACCCUUAUAGAGCACCUUAUAUGAUUCAAACUGUCUUCCGACCUGUUUUGUCCAUUGAGGAAGACGCUGAAAUCCAGAAAGUUUAAGUGACCUGCUCUAAGUUACACAUCUGACUUCUCAACCUAUAACUGUGGGAGAACCAUGGGAAGUGGGUUUCGUUGUUAUUAUUGUUGUUUGCUUGUCUUAAGCCUACCUGGGCUUUUAUAGCUAGAAGCCACUCCUAAGAGAACAUGACCAGGAAAGUGGGCCAGGGCCAGGGCAGGGGCCCCUGAGAGUAUGGGCCAUCCUGGGGUCUUGGGUGCUGAAGGUUGGAGCCAAGGCCUGUCGUGGGACCUCCCAAGGGCAGAGGACUUGAGCAGGGGCAGAUGUCAUUGCAAAGACUCCACUGACUUCCGUCUCUGUUUUGUUUGUGAAGCGAAGUUGCUGCAGUGGCAGGUGGGGAGGCAGCAGAAGGCCAGGUAGGAAUUUCCAGUCCUUCCCUGGGCCCAUAGCUCAGGCCGGAAGCCACUCCCUUCCUCCAUGUUUACAUGCAGCGGGCCACACCCCUUCAGAUGGCACAGACUGACACCCCCUUCCGGUCCCCCUGCUCCAGGCCAAAUACUUUUUCACUCACGUUAAAGCACCUUUCAGCACCUGGGCCCUGAGCUGGGGAGCAUUUCCAGGGAGGAAAGAAGGGAGAGGGUAUGAGGAGGAGGCUGGGGGUGGGUUGAGGGAAGGUGAGGAGCUGGGGGUAGUGGAGACUAGGAUGAAGUUAUGUGAGUGAUUGUCUUGCACCCAUCAUCUUUCUUUUUGUAUUAUUCUUUCCUUAUAUAGUGACAUCCAGUUUCCAAAACCUUUCCUUCCUCCUAGCAACUCUUACCCUAAGAUACUUAAUUCACACCAAGGUAAACACGACUAAUAACAGCUUCCAAAGUGAUCCUUUCAAGGGCAUUUUGGCAGUGGCCUCUUUAUUUGUUCAUUCAUUCUUUGAUUUCCUCAACAAUUUCCUUUGGCAUUCCUGGAGACCCUCCAUCCUAUCUCGAAGGCUUAGCUGGGACACCUCUAAGCUGUUUGGUGGGCUGCUGUCCAAACUCUGGGCUUUGUGGGUAGUGGCAUCCACACCCUCUGACAGCAUGUAGGUAUAUUGGCAGCAACCCAAGCUGUCUUUUUUGCACCUUCAAUGGAAGGAAAGGCAAUUUCUCCUCAUGAAAAAAGUUUGGGAGACUUUACCUAAAUGUAAAGGGAGGUGCUUUAAUGAUAUAUCUCCAGGAAUCAAACCCAUCAGUCCAUCUGAGUUUGGUCAUGGGCUGAGCUCCCCAGGGCAGCUGGGCAGGAGCCCUUCCAGGACAUCAGAACUUGGGGUAGAAUUUCCACCCCACUGGCCCUCAGGGCUCUGCAUAGAUUUCUCUCUCUGUCCUUCUUGGUAGGGAAGUGGCUGAUCAUGAGGAAGACCCUGAGCUCAGAGCUGGAAGAUAUCCAGGGACCCAUCCACCCAGUAGUUUGCAGAGGACAAAAUGACUCAAAAGUAUACCGAAAUCCAAAAUAUAAAACAGCUAAGAGUUAAAGCUCCAGUUGAAGGCAAAGGUCUAGACCCUGCCUCCUCUGCUCUCCCACUUGGCCCAUAAGUGGUCCAAAGCUUCUCUGUGGACCUCCAAAGCUCAGGAGAACACGAAUAGAAUCCACUGAGCCAGUCUAGUGAUCCAUUUUAUAGACAAAGAAACUGAGUCAGAGCAUGAUGGGAUGGAUGUGAGUCCUUAGGGGCCUCCACCCUUCCAUGAUCACUUCUGGCUCAUGUUCAUUCCCUGGACUCAUAAUGUACCCUUCUUUCUAACUUGACCUGCACAAUUCUACGGACUCUUCAGGCUCAGCUCAAAUGUCACCCUCCACCAUGGAGCGUUCCUCAAUUCUCUCCUCCAGUUCUGGCCCUACUCCCACCCAGUUCGGUGUUCCUGGAGCUCACUGCUUUUGCAUCUCUCUUAAGUUCAACCUCUCAUUUCUGCCCAUUUGAAGCAGCUCUUUUCUCCCUUGUCAGGCUGUUGGUCUCCUUGAGGUCAGGAGGUUUUUAAAAAAUCCCAAGCCUCCAGCCCAUGAGUAGGUGUGCAAUCACAGUGAGGCUGCUGACAUGUUUUCUUGGGUGAUGGUGAGAUGCUUUGCCCACUGGGGUCAGGGUCUCCCUACUGGACGGCCCUAGUUCUCAUCAAUUUGGUGGGGAGGGCAUAGAGUUUGAUUAAACAGUUACUUGGAUACCUGAAGUAGGGCAGGGAAGGGGAUACAGAACCUUCAGAGCCUGGGGAGGAGGGACCCUUCUGCUCUAAAUUGUCCACUCGCUCCAUCCUCAAGAAGAUGGAGAGCAGAAACAGGGGCAGGGGAAGAGAGCUGGGCCCCGCACACUUCCCACCAUCACUGAUUUCCCUCUUCUCUGGCAUUUUAAGAGCUCAGACUCAAACCCUUCAAGGGCUUUUGAAACAAUUAGAUUUGAAAGUGCCCAGUGCUUGGUCUAAUUGCUUAAAAGCCACUUCAGGCUUCAACUGACCCAGAGUAAAGCCUGGGGGGUGGGUAGAGGGGAGGGGAGACCCGAGACACUCUGUCGCCCUGUUUCCCAGGCCUUCCUGGACAACCAAGGCCUAGGUGAGUGGUGAUGCCAAAUAAGGGCCUUCAACUUUUCCCGGGGGGGCAGAGCCACCAUACUCUUCCUGCCCCUUUCCCAGCCCUUGCCCCCAGGGAACCGCUCACAUCUAACCUUUCUCUAAGAUACCUUCUCACGCAAAUUCCAGCAUUCCUAGGGGUGAUUGGAGCACUUAUGUCCAGAACCAAUUUUCAGUGUCAAAAAGUGGACUGAGCCAGUGUAAAGAGGCCGAGAAGUAUCAGGAGACAAGCCUUGGUGUGUCCAACUCAAGAUGAUGCUUUGCUUCUGGGAUAUUCUGAGAUUGGGGAUUUUGCAAUCUCUAAGUCAGUUCCAUCUCUCCAUGCUUUCGUGAUUACUCUUCUCCCAAGUUCUUUUUUUUUUUUUUUUGAGACAGAGUCUUGCUCUGUCACCCAGGCUGGAGUGCAGUGGCGCGAUCUCGGCUCACUGCAAGCUCCGCCUCCCAGGUUCACACCAUUCUCCUGCCUCAGCCUCCCGAGUAGCUGGGACUACAGGCACCCGCCACCAGGCCCAGCUAAUUUUUUUGUAUUUUUAGUAGAGACGGGGUUUCACCAUGUUAGCCAGGAUGGUCUCGAUCUCCUGACCUUGUGAUCUGCCCGUCUUGGCCUCCCAAAGUGCUGGGAUUACAGGUGUGAGCCACCGCA
Molecule: long non-coding RNA, 30431 nt
Filed under: Homo sapiens (human)
Lineage: Eukaryota; Metazoa; Chordata; Mammalia; Primates; Hominidae
Description: non-protein coding FOXP4-AS1:11
Source: RNAcentral